Homo sapiens (human) is the source of this 3441-nucleotide long non-coding RNA. Ensembl annotates it as long intergenic non-protein coding RNA 877. The record is from Ensembl. Lineage: Eukaryota; Metazoa; Chordata; Mammalia; Primates; Hominidae.
AUUUGAGCCUGGGACCCCAGACGAAAGGAUACGCUUCCUUUUAGAACCCCUGCCAAUCUGAGGACGGGGCCACCCCACAGACGCCGUGGCUCAGCAAGCAGACCAAUGGCCGAGGAGUCUGGCAAGGGGCGCUUGGCAGAUGAGAGUGGAGGUUGUAAAUCACCCUCCAUGCAAUGGUUCAUCAUAAAGGAUAUGGAGCAAAAUUAGAGGAGGCACGAGAAGGAAAGCCGGUGAUGAACAAGGAAAGUGCCUGGUUGAAGCUAGCUUGCAAUCCCAAAGUCAGAAGGUUGCCUGGGAAGCCAUGAAACAAAGCCAAAUCAAGGCAAAGCAGACACAUGGAGAUUUUGAGACUGAGAAGAGGAAAACUGAGGACAUUCAUGUGAGAUGGUUUCAAGUUUCCCUUAGAAGGAGAAGUUAUCUUCAGAAGGUCAGGUUGGUGAGGUGGGAGUUCAAAAACAACAAAGUAUGUAGCUACCAUUGUGAGGAAGACCAUGGAAAAUGGACGAAUCAGAAUGAAAGGCUUUCUGAACAAGAGUAAGUACCCCCACUGAUGUGGCUUGGUGGUAUCACCACCCAAAUCUCAUCUUGAAUUGUAGCUCCCACAAUUCCCACGUGGUGUGGGAGGGAUCUGGUGGGAGGUAAUUGAAUCAUGGCGGGGGGGGGUCUUUCCCAUGCUGUUCUCAUGAUAGUAAAUAAGUUUCACAAGAUCUGAUGGUUUUAUAAAGGGGAGUUUCCCUGCACAAGCUCCCUCCUGCCUGCUGCCAUGUGAGACCUGCGUUUUGCCUUCCACCAUGACUGUGAGGCCUCUUCCCCGGCCAUGUGGAACUGUGAGUCCAUGAAACCUCUUUUUCUUUAUAAAUUACCCAGUGUCAGGUAUAUCUUUAUCAGCAGCGUGAAAACAGACUAAUACACCCGCCUUUGCCACCACCCACAUUAAAACAACUUUAACUUCAACCUAGUCAAAGUAUAUGGGCUUCCCAAUCAGGCAGAUUCACGGUUUCAUUCUACUCCACCAGAUAUUAGCUGUGUGUGGAUGUUAGUCUCUGGGCUUUGUUUCUAAAAUGUAUGUAAUAAUGCACCAGGUUCUAAAAUCCGGUGAGAAUUCUGUGAGAUUAUGCAUGCAAAGUGCUGAGCAUGGGGCCUGGCUCAUAGAAAGUAUCAAAUAAGUGGUAGACAAGUUGUCAUUUUCACUUGUGGUUGAUAAUUUCCACUUUUGCCUUUCUGCAGCCCAGAGACAGAAGCAGAUAAUGCAAGUGUCAUCUACAUCUGGCAAAAGCCAAAGGUUUGGAAGAUGGAAAAAGGAAUCCAGGCAAAAAGGAGCCCAAGAUUGAAGUGAAUGACCAGGUGCACCAGUUCAAAUGCAAUCAGGAGGGACAGGGGUAGAGGGAGAAGCCUAGAGCAGCGCUUCUCAAACUGACUAUUCAAGUCACCUGGAGAUCUUGGUGAAAUGCAGACUCUGGUGCAGUAGGUCCUGGCGGGAACUUGAAAUUCUGCAUUUUGACCAAGGUCCAAGGUGAAUGUCCAGUGCUGUUGUCCUUGGCCUGCAGCAGGAGGAGCAGGGAUCUAAGACUUGGAGAGCAAAUGUCAAGCUCAGAAGAAAGACUGGAAGUUUGGGGACAAAACCCAAAUAUGGCUAAAGAAAGCCUGUAGGAUGAAGUUGGAAGUUCCAGAGCCUUCUCUUCACAUAAUGGGACAUGCAAGGGGGAAACCAAAUCAAAAGUGUAGAAUGCGUCGCUGGAUGUCUUUGACAUGGUGAGGUCUUGUUCCUAACGGAGCUUUUCCUCUUGGUCACAUUACCUCUGAAGGUAUCUAGGGCCCCAUACUCUAUUCCGGGGGUGCUGUGGCCCACAUGGGUCUGCAUGGUCAGACAGUGGCUAAAGCAAAUUCUCUGGCUGCAGAAGAGCCUCAGUCCUUCUGUCUGAUUGGCUGGCAACAUGACCAUGAGUGUGCCCUAGCAGAUGGCCAUGAGGAGGACAACUGGGCACAAACUGGGCAGCCAUGUGGCACUGGGAUGAAUGGCAUCACUCCCAAGACCUGGAGCCUCUUGAUCUCACUUAGCUCCUGUCUCCAUGGUCCCUCUUCUUCCUCUCUCCUUCAGGGGUGGAGUCUUAAUUUAUCUGACAGCAGAGAAAAAAUGUGUUCUGCAGGUAUAUGCACUAUGAUUUCUGCCUUAAAUUUAAGCAAGUGGAUUUUUAAAAACUCGGUAGUCAGGAAUUUGCAUCCCUCUUCCUGCUUUGUUUUCUUCUUUCCCCCAAAGCAGUGGGUGACUCUGUCCAUCUGGGCCAGGGAGGAAGAGCUCCAGCCUAGGGAUCGCUUCUCAAAUUUUAAUGCUCACAUCAAUCCCCUAGGGAUAAUACAAUUAAACAUGGCUCAGUGAGGGAAUGAACUCUGAGAAAUGUGUCAUCAGGUAGUUUUGUCAUUGCACAAAUAUCACAGAGCAGAGUCCAAACUCUUACAUAAACCUAGAUGGCAGAGCCUACUACAUACCUAGGCUGUAUGGUAUGGCCUAUUGCUCCUGGGCUACAAACCUCUAUGGCAUGUGACUGUACUGAAUAUUGUAGGAUAUUGUAACACAAUGGUAAGUAUUUGUGCAUCUAAACAUAUCUGAGCAUAGAAAAGGAACAGUAAAAACACAAUUUAAAAGAUUUUAUAAUGGGACACCCGUAUAGGGCCCUUACCAUGAAUGGAGUUUGCAGGACUGGAAGUUGCUCUGAGUGAGUCAGUGAGUGAAUGUGAAGACCUAGGACAUUAUUGUACGCUACUGUAGACCUUGUACACAUUGGACGCUUAGGCGACAUUAAAUCUACAAAAGAAUAUUUUUCUUUCCCUUGGCUUACUAUAUCUUUUUUAUUACUAUUUUAUAAACUUUUUGACUCUUAUGUAUUAACACUUAGCUUACAACACAAACACAUUGUACAGCUAUACAAAAAUAUUUUCUUUCUUGGCAAGGCAUGGUGGCUCACACCUGUAAUCCCAGCACUUUGAGAGGCAGAGGCAGGAAGAUCAUUUGAGGUCAGGAGUUCAAGACCAGCCUGACCAACAUGGUGAAAUCCCAUGUCCACUAAAAAUAAAAAAAAAAAACUUCUUUUAAUCUUUCUUCAUAUAUUCUUAUUCUAUACAGCUUUUUUCUAUUUUUUAAUUUUUAAAAUGAUUUUUUAAAAACUAAGGCACAGGCCAGGCACAGAGGCUCAUGCCUAUAAUCUCAGCAUUUUGGGAGGCCAAGGUGGGCGGAUUACCUGAGGUCAGGAGUUCAAGACCAGCCUGGCCAAAACGGUGAAAUGCUGUCUCUACUAAAAAUACAAAAAUUAGCUAAGUGUGGUAGUGUGCAGCUGUAAACCCAGCUACUUGGGAGGCUGAGGCACGAGAAUCUCUUGAACCUGGGAAGCGGAGGCUACAGUGAGCUGAGAUUGUGCACUGCACUCCGGCCUGGGCAACAGAGCA